This 86-nucleotide transfer RNA is filed under the name Nitrospiraceae bacterium. Its description in RNAcentral is "tRNA-Leu". It matches the Rfam family "tRNA". Rfam says of the family: Transfer RNA (tRNA) molecules are approximately 80 nucleotides in length. Their secondary structure includes four short double-helical elements and three loops (D, anti-codon, and T loops). Lineage: Bacteria; Pseudomonadati; Nitrospirota; Nitrospiria; Nitrospirales; Nitrospiraceae. The record is from RNAcentral.
GCCGGAGUGGCGGAACUGGCAGACGCAAGGGACUUAAAAUCCCUCGGGGGGGAACCCCCGUACGGGUUCAAUUCCCGUCUCCGGCA